AUAGAUAGUCAUACCCACCUGAUGGGAUUUUGGGGAGUUUUAGUGAGGGAAAUCUGGAUAUUUCCCUACUUAAUCUAAUAAGUCCCCACGACUUAUAUUCCAAUUGGGAGGUUAUUUGCGCUAUUAUUUUAUUUAUUAACACUUAGAAACUUCUCUUAAAUACUCUACAAUUCUUUCUAAGGCUUUUGGGAAAGGAAAGCUAGGGUUUCAUCUG
RNAcentral lists this long non-coding RNA (214 nucleotides) under Capsicum annuum. RNAcentral describes it as "long non-coding RNA (CANN_LNC017176)". Lineage: Eukaryota; Viridiplantae; Streptophyta; Magnoliopsida; Solanales; Solanaceae. The record is from RNAcentral.